This 407-nucleotide ribosomal RNA is filed under the name uncultured bacterium. RNAcentral's name for it is "partial 16S ribosomal RNA". It matches the Rfam family "Bacterial small subunit ribosomal RNA", at positions 30 to 526 of the family's 1533-position model. The record is from RNAcentral.
AUUGAACGCUGGCGGCAGGCCUAACACAUGCAAGUCGAGCGGAGCGGCGGACGGGUGAGUACUGCCUAGGAAUCUGCCUGGUAGUGGGCGAUAACUUCCGGAAACGGGCCCUAAUCCCGCAUCCUAUCAGCUGAGCCUAGGUCGGAUUAGCUAGUUGGUGGGUUAAAGGCCUACCAAGGCGACGAUCCCUCGCUGGUCUGAGAGGAUGACCAGCCACACUGGAACUGAGACACGGUCCAGACUCCUACGGGAGGCAGCAGUGGGGAAUAUGCCACAAUGGGCGAAAGCCUGAUGCAGCCAUGCCGCGUGAAUGAAGAAGGCCUUCGGAUUGUAAAGUACUUUCGUCGGGGAGGCGGUACCCGCAGAAGAAGCAACGGCUAACUCCGUGCCAGCAGCCGCGGUAAUAC